AAAGUACAACAAUAAUUUAACAGAUUACAUCUUGUUUUCUCGCAGCCAUCCACUACUCCAUUACUGAAGAACUUCCAGCAUAUGGUUUCAACUGUGGAUUUGGCUACAGUUCUCAAAAGACAAUCUGUCGCUGGGAACACGAUAGCCAGCUGGACCUGAGAUGGGCCGUCCUCACCAGCAAAACAGGGCCCAUUCAGGACCACACAGGAGAUGGCAAUUUUAUUUAUUCCCAAGCUGAUGAAAACCAGAAAGGCAAAAUUGUCCGCCUUAUCAGCCCCAUCAUCAACCUGCAAAAUUCUGCACUUUGCAUGACUUUCUGGUAUCAUAUGUCGGGCCCUCACGUCGGCACGCUAAGAAUCAAACUGCGGUACCACACCCCUAAAGUAUACGAUCAGGUCUUAUGGAUGCUAAGUGGAAAUCAGGAAAACUGCUGGAAGGAAGGUCGGGUUCUUCUCCACAAAUCUGUGAAACAUUAUCAGGUAAUGGUGGAAGGAGAAAUAGGAAAGGGAAAUGGAGGAAUUGCAGUUGAUGAUAUUAACUUUGA
Non-coding RNA from Python bivittatus (Burmese python), 544 nucleotides. The record is from RefSeq and is a predicted model, not a curated record. NCBI's taxonomy places the organism in Eukaryota, Metazoa, Chordata, Lepidosauria, Squamata, Pythonidae.